This 549-nucleotide small RNA is filed under the name Pan troglodytes (chimpanzee). RNAcentral describes it as "processed transcript". The record is from RNAcentral. Lineage: Eukaryota; Metazoa; Chordata; Mammalia; Primates; Hominidae.
GAAGUAUCUCCGUCAAGAAGAAGAAAAAUGUCCCCCUUGAGGUCAUUAGAACAUGAGGAAACCAAUAUGCCUACUAUGCACGACCUUGUUCAUACUAUUAAUGACCAGUCUCAAUAUAUUCAUCAUUUAGAGGCAGAAGUUAAGUUCUGCAAGGAGGAACUCUCUGGAAUGAAAAAUAAAAUACAAGUAGUUGUGCUUGAAAACGAAGGGCUCCAGCAACAGCUAAAAUCUCAAAGACAAGAGGAGACACUGAGGGAACAAACACUUCUGGAUGCAUCCGGAAACAUGCAGAAUUCUUGGAUUACAACAGGUGAAGAUUCUGGGGUGGGCGAAACCUCCAAAAGACCAUUUUCCCAUGACAAUGCAGAUUUUGGCAAAGCUGCAUCUGCUGGUGAGCAGCUAGAACUGGAGAAGCUAAAACUUACUUAUGAGGAAAAGUGUGAAAUUGAGGAAUCCCAAUUGAAGUUUUUGAGAAAUAAGAAUCACGGCCGGGCGCGGUGGCUCACGCCUGUAAUCCCAGCACUUUGGGAGGCUGAAGCGGGUGAAUCA